Molecule: ribosomal RNA, 434 nt
Filed under: uncultured bacterium
Lineage: Bacteria
Description: partial 16S ribosomal RNA
Rfam family: Bacterial small subunit ribosomal RNA
Source: RNAcentral
AGCGAACGCUGGCGGCAGGCCUAACACAUGCAAGUCGAACGAACCUUUCGGGGUUAGUGGCGGACGGGUGAGUAACACGUGGGAACGUGCCUUUAGGUUCGGAAUAACUCAGGGAAACUUGUGCUAAUACCGAAUGUGCCCUUCGGGGGAAAGAUUAAUCGCCUUUAGAGCGGCCCGCGUCUGAUUAGCUAGUUGGUUGAGGUAAUGGCUCACCAAGGCGACGAUCAGUAGCUGGUCUGAGAGGAUGAUCAGCCACAUUGGGCCUGAGACACGGCCCAAACUCCUACGGGAGGCAGCAGUGGGGAAUCUUGCGCAAUGGGCGAAAGCCUGACGCAGCCAUGCCGCGUGAAUGAUGAAGGUCUUAGGAUUGUAAAAUUCUUUCACCGGGGACGAUAAUGACGGUACCCGGAGAAGAAGCCCCGGCUAACUUCGUG